ACUCGGCUGCCCCAUAGGCUCCGCCCUUGGGCUUAUGGGAAAGCUCAAAGGGGCUAUACUUUAACCAAUCCUGCCUUUGGGAGUGGUUAAAGCGAAAAGCAAAACAAAGGCUACGCUCGUAGAAGCCUGAGGCUGAAGCUUUCCGGACACGGGUUCAACUCCCGUCGCCUCCACCA
Molecule: transfer-messenger RNA, 176 nt
Filed under: Bacillota bacterium
Lineage: Bacteria; Bacillati; Bacillota
Description: Firmicutes bacterium (hot springs metagenome) partial transfer-messenger RNA
Rfam family: transfer-messenger RNA
About the family: Bacterial tmRNA, also known as 10Sa RNA or SsrA, is named for its dual tRNA and mRNA-like properties. Its role is to liberate the mRNA from a stalled ribosome. To accomplish this part of the tmRNA is used as a reading frame that ends in a translation stop signal.
Source: RNAcentral